RNAcentral lists this ribosomal RNA (253 nucleotides) under uncultured bacterium. Its description in RNAcentral is "partial 16S ribosomal RNA". It matches the Rfam family "Bacterial small subunit ribosomal RNA", at positions 524 to 776 of the family's 1533-position model. The record is from RNAcentral.
UACGUAGGGUGCGAGCGUUAAUCGGAAUUACUGGGCGUAAAGCGUGCGCAGGCGGUUCUCCAAGUCCGUUGUGAAAGCCCCGGGCUCAACCUGGGAAUGGCAGUGGAAACUAGGGGACUGGAAUCUGGCAGAGGGGGGUGGAAUGCCGCGUGUAGCAGUGAAAUGCGUAGAGAUGCGGCGGAACACCGAUGGCGAAGGCAGCCCCCUGGGCUGAGAUUGACGCUCAGGCACGAAAGCGUGGGGAGCAAACGGG